AGCGAACGCUGGCGGCAGGCCUAACACAUGCAAGUCGAGCGCCCCGCAAGGGGAGCGGCAGACGGGAGAGUAACACGUGGGAACGUACCCUUCGGUUCGGAACAACCCAGGGAAACUUGGGCUAAUACCGGAUACGUCCGAAAGGAGAAAGAUUUAUCGCCGAGGGAUCGGCCCGCGUCUGAUUAGCUAGUUGGUGGAGUAACGGCCCACCAAGGCGACGAUCAGUAGCUGGUCUGAGAGGAUGAUCAGCCUCACUGGGACUGAGACACGGCCCAGACUCCUACGGGAGGCAGCAGUGGGGAAUAUUGGACAAUGGGCGCAAGCCUGAUCCAGCCAUGCCGCGUGGGUGAUGAAGGCCCUAGGGUUGUAAAGCCCUUCCGGCGGGGAAGAUAAUGACGGUACCCGCAGAAGAAGCCCCGGCUAACUUCGUGCCAGCCGCCGCUGUAA
RNAcentral lists this ribosomal RNA (447 nucleotides) under uncultured bacterium. RNAcentral describes it as "partial 16S ribosomal RNA". It matches the Rfam family "Bacterial small subunit ribosomal RNA", at positions 29 to 523 of the family's 1533-position model. The record is from RNAcentral.